CCUUUUUAUCAUUCUUCCUAUAGAGCUGAAAUGAUGCCAAGUUUUCCCUUCUUCUUAAUUAAAACAUACUUAAGGUAUUACUCACACUUGAUGCCAAAUUGAAAGGAGACAGACCACUUGCUGAAGCUCAGCCCAUUUGGCCAAGUUUCCUGGGUGGAACGAUGGGACAGUGGAUGUGAUGGUGUCGCACAGCUCCUUCUGCGAUGUAGGUUCAGACCCGUGUUUAAAUCCAGCUCAGUCUGCAUGGAGUUUAAGUUCUCCCUGUUUUUGCAUGUGGUUCCUCUCAGCCCAUAGACACAUUUUCAGGUGAACCAGGGACUCUAACUUGCCUUGUGUGAAUGAGCGAAUGAAUGAGUGUAUGUGUGAUUGCUCUGUGCCGGACUGACAGGGUGCGAAGUUCUUUUGGAACAGGCUCCAGACCACCACGAUCCAGCAAGUGGUGAUCUAGAAAAGUGGUUAUUGGUUUCUUCUCCAGGAGUGCCAUCUCGGUCUGCACAUUGGCUUUUAUAGCAUUUCUGUAACAUAAUAUGGAGAUGAAAAAGAAAGAUAAAUGGUUUGAAAUACAUCACAUCUCAGGCACCACCAGCGCUACCGACAAAUACUGUGUGUGUGGGACCGACUUUUGGAUCCGGUAUUACUUUACUGGUGGCGUAAUUCUCAAAAUGGCCGAGGUAAAUUCAUAAAUACAAGUUAAGCAGACGUGGAUGUAACUUUACUUAAUAUCGCGGGCCAGCUGUGUCAGAACAUCUACGGUCAUUGCUCCCCGAUAGAUCACGAGCUCCGGCUCAAAGAGCGCUAUACAGGUCGCAUGUUUAACUCAUUACCAUGAGAACGACCGCUUCCGGCCGCAUACCGGAAGUACGUCCCAGUGUUUCAAAAUGAGCGCGAAGUAGCAGCUAGAAACGUCAUAAUAACCAAACUGCUGCUCCGAAGAUCUUAGCUGAGCUACUCAUUUGUACCAGGAUGGAUAAGAUGCCAGAAGAAGCGGCAGUCAGAUACAAGACAAUUGCUGAAUUACUGGAGAAACUAACCAAUGAAGCAAGAAAACUUGAAGAAAACCAGAAGAAGCUGGUAAAGCACAAUCACGCCCUUAGUAAUCUUAACAAGUCCUUCAAUCAGGCCCAGUCACAUCUGGAGAAGGUGGCAGCGGUGAAAUGGUCCAACCAUCUCCUUAACUUAUAGACCCUGAUCCCUUAGACUAGGAGAUUUUUUUUUUUUUUUUUUUAAUAAAUCUUUUUGUCAAGCCA
This 1247-nucleotide long non-coding RNA is filed under the name Scleropages formosus (Asian bonytongue). Its description in RNAcentral is "lncRNA (ENSSFOG00015028674.1)". The record is from RNAcentral. Lineage: Eukaryota; Metazoa; Chordata; Actinopteri; Osteoglossiformes; Osteoglossidae.